Molecule: long non-coding RNA, 24983 nt
Filed under: Volvox carteri
Lineage: Eukaryota; Viridiplantae; Chlorophyta; Chlorophyceae; Chlamydomonadales; Volvocaceae
Description: long non-coding RNA (VCAR_LNC000619)
Source: RNAcentral
AGGGGGCAGGGGAGGUAAGACGAACCACUGGCGAAUGGAGAGAGAGAGGGAGGGAGGGAGCACAGGAACUGUGUGAAUUUCGUGUACAAGGUGUGUUUGGACCAGGGGGGCCCCCCAGGGGGACGCGGGUAGGUCGUGUGUCGUCUUGUCCUGGCAGCAGCAUAUCAGAAGGGGAAAACUGAAGUGUAUUAAAGAUUAUACCAAGGUGACUUCUAAGUAUUUGGCGUGAGUGAGUGAGUGCGCAGCGGUGGCGUUUUAGCUCGGGGCGAGCUAGUGCCAACCUCGUGCGUCCUGGCAUACGACAGCCCACGCUUCGGUGAAUCAAGGCUCGGGGGGCCCCCCUUCCUCCUACUGCUCCAGGGAAGCAGUACUCACUCCCUCUGCUUGCAGGUAGUACCCCUCUGCUUGCAGGUACCGCCAACUUGUGUAACGGGUAGUCACUCUCCAUCUCGUCUCUUUUGCGAACGAUUGGUAAGGGAACAACGCAGAUAACAGCUUUAUCCUCCGUCUUUUCCUCUUUUUGUUCUCUAUGACCCAUUUCUUCUUCUUCCUUGCAUCUUACCCACUCUGAACUCCCCUGAGGCCUCAAUUCUUCCCUGACCCUUCCUCCUUCCUGCGCCCUCCUCCCCAUCCCUGCACGCUCUGCCGGCACAGGCGCGGGGCGUCCACCGCAGAAGCCGCAUCUCCGCUUCUUCCACACGCACCUGCCGCUGGUACUCCUCGUACCGGGACCUGUCGUACGCGCCCAUCGCGAUGCGCUGCUCGUCGGAGCCCAGCAGGCCCAGAUCCUGACGGGAGGUGGCGACGGACCUGGCGCGGCCCAGGUAGUCAACGGCGGGGCCAGCGGCGGCUGCCGGUUGCUGCUCAUGCCGCGGAAGCCUGCGGAGAAAGCGUGAGGGGCUAUGAGGACGAGGUGGCCUUGUGGGAUGGGUGAUAGGAGCACCGGACAGCCCCAGAAACAAGAACCCAGGCAGGUACAGAUGGAAAGGCUGGCGGCAGGCCUACCCAUAAAGAGAGGUUAUGGGCGUUUCAUGGGUACGGCGGCCACAGGCCAGCACACCCAACCCACCGCUCUACUCCCUGAAGGAGCUGCAGGACCUCCUCCGCUUCCUCUUCCGUCGCCGUAGUCGUCGCCGGCGCGGCGGCUCCGAAACCACCCUGCGAUGUCGGUGGCGCCGAUAGCGGCCGCGACUGAGACUGCUGCUGCUGCUGCUGUCCCUGUCCACUCCGGCGAUACAUGGCUCCCACAUACUCCUGCUGUUCCGGCAGUGACGCCAACACCGCCGCCGCCGGGGAGCCGUAAUAGGCGCGGGCGCUGUAAAGUCCCCCCCCGCCGUCGCCGCGCGACGGCCCCGCCGAGUCGUACACGCCGCCAGGGCUGGCGCUGGCGGGUCGUUGGAGACGCCCCGGCGAGUGGCUGUAGAGGCUGGGGUGUGGCGGCGGCGGUCCGAAGGCCCCUCUGCUGUAUGCUGAAGCGCUGGUGCUGUAGUAGCCGACGCGAGAAGGCGAGCGGGAUCCGGAGCGGGUGGGUCCAGGGGAGGCGCCUGGGGAGGGGGACCGGGAGCCGGUGGCAACUGCUGCUGUCAUCUGCUCGCUGCGGGCGAUUGCAUCCAGUGCACGUCGCUGGACCUGCGAAAACAGGUGGAUCGUGGACGUGGGGCGGGAAGGUAGGCUCAGGAAUGAAAGGCCGCAGACUGGAAACCUUGAAGCGCACGUCUUGAAGCUUCAAGACGCAAUAAUGAACGCCAUGGCAGAGUCGCACAAGGCGCAACCCAAGCACCCAACCCUAGCUACCUACUCUUCCUCCCGCCAACACUGCGGCAGCAGUCUGCCACUAACCCACCACCCCACACCAAACCACCCAGCCGCCACGCCAUCCGCCCACCUGCCGCGUGGCCUGCCGCAGUGUCUCCCCCUCCUCCUCCAGCUCCCGCAGCCUCGCGCGACCCGCCUCACGCGCUGACGCCAGUCUGUCCACAUCCGCCGCAAGCUGCUGCGUACUGGGACUGCCGCGUGGGGAGGCGUAGUACUGCCGGCGAGCCUCCGCUAUCGCGGCCCUGAAGGUGUGGGAUUAGGAACACCAAAAGGGAAAGCGAGCUCAGACGUUGGGAGGGUUUUCUAAUGUGUACAUGAUAAAAGGGGCAUUGCUAGAAGGGGCAUUGCUAGAAGGGGCAUUGCUAGACAGAGGUGUGCGCGGGAAGUGGGACGGGAAGGGCGAGUUAUAUUAUGCAAGUUGCAGAGGAGGAGAGGAAGUUACGGGGAAGGGACGGAGGGUGGCCAGGAGGUGACGUGAGGGAGCCGUGGCGAGGUGCAGGACGGUGACGAGGAGCAAUGGCACUGUGGGCACACGGGAGAGGAGCUGAGACAGCGAGAACUAGAGAGCAGCGGAACGCGUCCCUGGCCCCCUCCGGCAGCCCCCUUUCCUUCCCACUGCGUUUCCCACUUUCUUUCCUUUUCCCCAACCUCCCCAUUCACCCAUCCCAUAUGGACCUCGCCACAACCCAGGGCGCAUACCUCGCCUUCUCCUGCCACAGCUUGCGUCGCUCGGCCUGCGGACCCCGCGAGACCCCGCGAGACGCGACGGACCAGACACGGGGGUGAAUCCUAUGAACAAGUCAAAAAGAGAUAGCUUCCGGCCGACAAAGGGGCUGGGUGGGAAUCAUAUGCAAGAACCGAUUGGCACGGGUGGAAUGGGGAUGGGAAUGACGUUGGGAUGGGGGAAGCCGCGCUAGCGGCAGGCGGCCGGGUAUUUUAACAGGCUCGUCUCAGAAUUGGUCUCUUCAGCCCUGGAGGGAACUCGACAGUCGGCCUAGCGGAGGUGCACACACAACCCCAUUCGGUUUUACCCAGCUCUGGGCCCGCUAGCCUCUUCAGACUACAUAGGCAUAUUGCUUGGGAGCUUGGGGAAGGAAAAACACACACGUGCGCACACGUCACGUGGGUUGGGCUUUCCCUGGACUAAACUGCUGCUUUCCGGUGCUACAUCUGCAAUCUCCCCCCCCCUCAAACCCAACCCGCUGCCCCCUCCCUCUUGCGGCAAUCCCCAUCCCCCUCUGGCUUGUUCGGCCUGUGCUGCCCGUCCAACACACAGCGCAGCACACAUACGCAAGACAUCACGCAUAUAUGACACGCACAUCACACAUCAUGCACGCACGUUUAUGCACAGCACGCCCCCACACGCAUAGCAUACGCAGCGCACGCGCACACAUACUCAGAUACACAGAUACACACCGCACCUCCAGCUCCCUCUCCUGCGCGGGAGAUCGAGCAUAGUGCUGCUCCGCAAUCGCCGGGUGCGCCUCGUCAAAGCUAAAGCACCGCUGCUGCAGAGGAGCAUGUGCGCCGAAGGAGCGCGGCUGCGAGAAACGGUAGUCGGGUACGCCAUGGGCCUCUCGGUGCUUCCGGAGGCGGUACCUGGCGCGGGGUUCAGCGGGGUCGAGGAGAGGGGUUUCCAAGGGAGUGCCGUAAGAACCCGAUAGCGACAAGGCCCCACCGAAAACCCGAGAAACGAACGCUCAUCCCCCUGGGGGACGGGCCUUGGUGAAACAGAAGACAGAGGGUAGGACAGACAGUGGAAGCCCUCGCAGCGGCGGAGAUAGCCGCCACGGCAAAAAAGCCGUGGCACUCGAAUGCGGCGGAGCUGGGAGGGGUGUCGGUGUGUCGGUGUGAGGCGCAAGAGGCUUUUUUCAGGAGGAAAGGACCAAGCAAGCAAACAGGAUCAAGAUAUACUGUAGUAGCGAUGAGCUUUACGUGCGCGCAUGUCGUCAGCUGAAUUUGACUAUAAACAGGAAUAUGCAUAGAGAUUGUGUGGGACCUGGUGCCCCACAGCACCUUCCUACACCCCACGUUACCCUCCUCCAGUUUCUGUCCACAGCCCAGCCCUCCAUCUUCCCCCGCCUGUCCAGCCCUCGGCGAACAGAACGAGGCACUUCCUACACUGCCGGGUGUGACUUUACCGAGAGGCCCUUCAGUCGGGGUUCCACCCUCCCCAGCCCCACAGAACACACAUCACCACCAUGACCAUGACCAUGACCAUGACCAUGACCACCACCAUGACCAUCACCGACCUCCACAAUUCACCGCACUCACUGUCCAUAGAAUUGCUCCGAAACAUCCGAUGCACGAGCUCGGUUACCCAGGUUUGGCGACUGCGACCGCACGCUAUGUUGAGCUCCGGGAGAGGGCUGCGGCGAUUCCCCGGGCCCAGGCGACCGGGAAGCCUGGUGACGCUGCUGCGGUUGUAGCUGCAGCUGCGGUAGCUGCUGCGGCGACCGAGCUUGCUCCGCUGCGGCUGCGGCCGCCGCGGCUCCCUCUUCGCGGUGGGUUGCGCCUGGGCUCCGCACCGGCACCCCCUCGCGAUCAAUGCCUGGGUCAUUUAGCAUCAGUGCCACACGUGUCGCCUCAUCCACAUCCUCCAGCCUUCGGUACGACCAUCCCGGAUGAUGAUGAUGAUGAGGAGGAGGAGGAGGAGGACGGGGAGGAAGAGGAGGGUCGCAGGGGCGGAGGGUCGAUUAACUCCAAAGUAUUCAUGUGAAUUGUGGAAUAUAAACCGCCAGUGUCCAACUAACGCACCAACUAACUGGGGCGGGGAAAGGUUCCCGCGGGAAGUGUGUGUGUGUGUGUGUGUGUGUGUGUGUGUGUGUGUGUGUGUGUGUGUGUGUGUGUGUGUGUGUGUGUGUGUGUGUGUGUGUGUGUGCAACAUCGAGAGAAAGCCCAACUGCCGACGUCCCGCGACCGCGGGGUGUGAUGGGAAAGGAAGCUGCUUCAGAUCCGGAAGAGAACCCAAAUCCCAUCGUCCCCGUUCCCUGCCUUGUAUCUACGAGGGUGAUGGGGACGGGGGGGAAGACGAACCACGGACGAGUGAAGCUGUUGCCAGGGCAAGAGUGUACCAGACGUAGAACUGACCAAAAGGCGUUCUUGAAGGCGGCGACCUCGGGAUGACGUAGUGAAGAUGAUGUCGGACAACUACCUACCUAGCGCGCCAAGACUAAAAUAAGCGCGGAAGAAAAGCAGUAAUGGGAUGGGUGGUGGUGGUGGUGGUGGUCCGGUUACGAUACGUUCCUCUCCAGCUUAUGCAUCUUACCGCAUGUUGGCGAUUCCAGACACUGGUGCCCAGGCCGGCAGCCGGGGGACCGCGGGACGGUUGCCCGUUGCACUGCCACGACCUGUCCCGCCGCCCCCGCCCGCGUCCUUACGGGCACUCGGCACUGCCGGCGGGGCACCCCGGGGAGAUGGAGCCCCGAGCGGCCUCCGCGGCGUCGCGCCGACCCUUGGGGUGCCGCCACUGCCACUGCCACUGCCACUGGCACCCGAGGGCCGGCCGGAGAUUUUGGCACCGAGGCCGCGCCGCGGCGUCGUGGAGGUUGAGCCAGCGGAGCCGCGUCCACCGCCGCCGCCGCCGACGGGAGAUGUGACCUCGGACGCCGACGGCUGCUGCUCUGAGGUGGCUGGGUCGUUGGAGGGCUGCUGGCUGGGGCUGUUGGGGCUGGGGGCGCUGGGGCUGGCGCUGCGGCUGCGGGACGCACCAUCGGGGGAGGAGGACGUGCGGCGGCGCCGGUCGCCUGCAGCCGAAAUCGCCACACGCAGCGAUGGGUGCGGGGCACGGAGAAUAAAGACCCUAGUGGCGCAGCUUUCGCGCAGUAUGGAAACAAGGGGGACUCGGGGGAAAGGUACGGCUAUGGGAGGGAAAGCCAAGGCGCCCCGCACCUUCCCCAUCCCACGCUUCCCCCCAGCCUCGGCUUCUCACGCCGCACAGAAAGACCUUCAUCCGGGUUUCAUUCCUUAACGGCCGCCCGCGCUCGGAAUGGACCUCGUCCCGUGGAACAAUGUCUGUUGCUUACCCUCCCACAGCCUGCCCAGCCCCUCCUUUGCUCCCCCCCAGCCGGAACCCUGCCGCCUCUGCUCCCCACCCUACCCCCCCCACCCUCCACCGUGUGACCGGCGGCCAACCCCCCAUCCCACCCCACCACACACCCCGGCUCACCCGUCACGGCCGUCAGCCCGGGUCGUCUGAUGGGGCCGCUGACAGGCACACCCGAACGGAAGGGCGGCUGCUGUAUGGUAGGGCUCCUGUCGUACGACCGACGCGAGGGUGUCGUACCAUAACUGACCGAGGACCUACAGCAACGGGCCAUGAGGUUGAGGCGGAAAGCGUGAAAGCGAGGGGAUUGAGGACACUUCCUGAACGUCAAGGACAAUUUCACAUCAGAAAUGAAGGGAGUUUGUGUGGUGCUAAGCUAAUCCCCACAAACUGUGGAAGUUGAGAAGGGCUCCCUGGAGCAGGAGUACGAAAUAGUACGAAGAAAAUAGAACCCAGAUCCCGGAUCGGGACAGAGAUCGGGACAGGUUAUCAAUUCAAAUCGGAACCAAAAGCCCUCGGGGGCUAUGUGUCUGAGCGCCUGUCGCGAGCCAGGAGGCCCCGCUGCAGCUCCAGUGCGCACUUAAAUGUCGGAAAAUCCGCCCGGUCAUACCUCCAUUCCCAUCCUCCCUCCUUCCCUUCUCCUUUCCUCCUUUCGGAGUCGUUUGGCGGCGGCGCACCAGGGAAGUUUGGCCAGUGGCGACGGGGUGGUGUUUGUCCUUACCGUAUUCGCCAAGCAUGUGGCGCACAUCUGGGCAUACUGCCCGUUACGUGUGUUUGAUGUAAGCGCGUCUGACGUAAGCUGACGUCCCUAGCCCAACCUGGAGCACGGCGUGAAUCUUAGCCGUAGCCAACUCCAGAGUCGUCACAGGCGCCAAUCCAGAUCCAGAUCCAGACCCAGAUCCAUUUUUUCUUCCUCCCUUCUCCCUCCUCAUAUACCGGUUCCAGCAUCAUUGCCGCAUGCCUUGUGGCCCUGUUCAUCUCCCCCCCACCGCCACUUACCUCAGUGGAGAAAUCCCGGUGUCAGGACCGCCGCUGCUGCCGCCACCGCCGCUGCCGCCGCUGCGGUCGCGGCGGUACCCAUAUCCAUCGUAGGAGUAGUGCUGGGCGCUUUCCGCGUCCGGCGUGUACGGUUCAGGCGAGGAACCGCCGCUGCCGCUGCCGCCGUCACCGUAGCCGCCGCUAUCCGCACCUACAGUACAGGACACCACCGCGUGGAUCCGGCUUAAAUCGGGGGCUGGGCUCAGGUUCACGUCAUGAUGCCAUUAUGUGUCAAGGUUGGAGGUCUGCAAGGGAGUUGGGAGUCCAAGGCAGGACUUCGAUCGUGCCAGGGUGUUCGUCUGCUCACCUGUCGCCUGAUAGGCCACGCUAGGCGAGGAGUCGUAGAAGUCCAGUGGUGGAGGAGGCGAAGACGGGCCGGGAGGCGGGCUGUACGCUCCUCGAGAUGCAUUGCCAUAGGAGUAUGGGGACUCUUCAGCUGGCAAGGGGGGGAGGUUUGCCGGGGGACGGCGCGACGGUGUCUUACUACUGAUAACUACAUGCCUGACUGGCGGGGUUAGAGACGCACGUGAACGGAGAGGUUUCCUUCGCCUGUUGGCACAGAAUUGAUAGACACAAAGCAAACAAGUUUGCCAUCUCACCAGCGCGACGGCGAGGUGUCGGCGAGCUGGCAUCCUCGACCAAUAAGUCACGCGCGUUGGGUGGCAAGCCCGACGGGACGGGCGUGUCAAAUUCAAAGAAAUCAUCGAACUCAGGAGUGGGUUUGCGGACUGUAGCCUCCGCGGGUCUCACGACUUCUCCUUGACUGCGUCGCUGAUCGAUAGCCUGCGCUUUCGCCAACCGGCACGGUAAACGUUUACUAGUCAAAUCUACAAUCUCGCCAUGCAGUCGCAUAAGCGAUGCACUUUGCACCUGUAAGGACAAGCUUACACAUGGCUAGCUGGGUUCACUUACCUGCAACGAUCCCAUGGUCGCCAGAUCAUCAGCCCCGAAAUGACGGAGAACUGGGUUCCUCCUGCCAUACAUUCCUGCUUAUUCUCACAGCUUGGCCUCUGGUUGCCUCGGUCAACAGCACUUGACAGCUAGCUUACAAAUCUCAAAAAAGGCAUUCUUAACGACUAGUUCAUAUCAUAUGUGGAAUUUAAUCCUGUUCAUCAUUUGGGGUUGUGACUAAUCAUAAGGUGUCGUUGUGCUCCCAGUAAGCUACUCUAUGCGAGCAUAACCCAGCUACGUCAAUGGACGCUUAUGCAAUGCUUUAUCGGCUAGACAGCCAAAUGCCCUUCAUUUUGUCUUUCAGCCCAAGUUGCGCCGAUGGAUGACUUCCCCAGACUGUCGAUGACGUACGACAUCCGUAACACUGCAAUGCGAUACAUGGCCAUGCAUAAUUGGUAUAAUUUAAUUUUACGAAUAGGACUUUUAAGAAAGGGAAGUCCAAAGGUUAGCGGUGAGGACUUCUCUCCAGACGCGGCUCGCUGAGCCGCCGUGGCGGGCGUCGGACCCGAAGUUUCGGUUAUGGAGGCUAACAUGGCCUGGCGCCAGGAAUCAUUCGCUUAAGAACUUGUUGAAAAUUGAUUAUACUGACGACGCUAAAUAUACAUGAGCGCCUUCACGCAGCACCUUGUGAGGCUCCGUCCAGAACCAUACAGCAUGCAGCCAUGCCAUCGUCGCACCACGUCAGGCACGUGCCGAACCCGAAUGCGGAGAGCUGCUGGGCACGCGAGGCUGCUAAGGAUAAGGCCCCGGAUGCCCGUCUGCCUGAUCGCCCAACCCCGGACUAGCCUAGCUUUGCAAGUCCACCCAGGUCCACCUCUUCAACUGCGAUGACACGUGCUAACCAAGUGCAACCCUUCGCCACGUUACAUGAAGUCUUUGAUCAUUUCCACAGCAUGUCAAACAACUUUACGCAUCUCUCUUGAUGUUAAGGUGCCGCAACAGGCCCCAGCCCCCACAGCUAUGGAGGCUGCUGACACAGCCCUUGCCCCUGCACACACAGCAGGUGGAAAUGUUGACCAAAUGUGUACAUGACGUCAGCAGGCAUCCAUCCGCAACUGGGUUGGCAUUCAGCGGGGGGAUCUCGUCCGAGCUUGUUGCCUGCCGUCGCGGCAGCUAUCCACAAAGAGCGCGCCACCACCAGUCGCUGACAGUUGCUCCUGGCAGUAGAUGCCACCAGUAGAACUUCUCGUAGUGUGUGCGCGCGCUAAUGAUCAUCACUCGUUGGUAUUGAACACGCAAUAAACAGGUAAGGGCUCGUACUGCUAUAAAAUACGAGUGUACAAACUACAUAUGCCGUACGUACUUCGGAAGCCAUUAAAAAGCCAAGGACGAGAACGACAGAAGAUAUUGUUCCAGCCCUGCGAGCAGCUAUUCCAACGUAUUACAGGAUGGCUCCCCUUAGCUUGAUGCUCCUACGCUGGCUAAGUCGUGGAUUACAUGUGAGAGGAGGCAUGUCUCAUGACCCUUGGCCACGGCAGAACUAUGGAUAACCCAGAGCCAGGCGGCCAACACACGCGCCUUGAGUUUUGCUUUUGAAUGCUUCCAACCACCAUCCCAACCUCGUCUUCAUGUCGCGUCGUUUGUGAACCGCACUUGAUUACCCUCUUGGUGAACUAGGGACUUCACGGAUGAAAGCUCAAUCACGGCAACCUCAGAGUAUAGCUGUACAAACAUAGUGACUGUCAGCCAUCAAAGCUAUGAUCUAUGCUCGCAACCACGCAAAAAUUGCGUUCUGUUUGCCUUAAUUUACAGUCAAAACUAACCACUAACUGCCAACUGCCAUAAGACGGCCGACUACGGUAUUGCUACCUGUUUCCCUCUGUGAGGCGAAGAUUGGUUUUGAACUCCUUUCCUACUUGGGGUGGGCUCGCUGGUAGACAUUGCAGAAGCUAUCGCGUAUACGGCGGUAAAAGUUCUUUUCGAAUCAGGCACAGGAUUCAAGGCCAAAAUCAAGCCAAUGUUUGGGAUGUUGUCUAUGUUGGUAGAAGUGCUGAAGAGCUUCUCGUAAUAAGAGAAACACGCACCAACUUCUGAGAUGUCGGGUUUAAGCUGGUGACUCCAGAGCUAAAGCUAACGUGUAUUCUGUCCUGAAAACAUUUCGCACUUAAUCCUGCUAGGUGAAUUACACUAGGGACGUCGGGCCGCCUGAUACUGAUCUCCGAUACUUGCGCACCUUAAACACGGCUUUAGUGCCCUUCAAGCAAAGAUACCCUGAGCGCCACAACUUCAGCAACGAAGUCUUAGGUAUUCAGCACGGGAUGAGCAGGUCGCAGAGCAGGUCCCCCAAAGACGAUUACGGGCGCUGGGGUGAUCCCGACGACAAUCAUCAUAGCAACAAAGCAAGCAAACGCUUGCGCGACGAACGCUCUCGCAGCCGCAGCCGCGACCGUGUGGAACGCCGCAGGCGUGACAGGGCCCCGACAGGGCCCAGCAACCACAGCCAGAGUCGCAGCCGAAGCCGAAGCCGAAGCCGAAGCAGAGGUCGGGAGGGGCACCGUAGCGCCGCCUCCUACGGCCGAGACGACGGCAGGGACCAAGGUCGGGAGCGGGAUCGCAGCAGAGACCGGCUCCGCGACCGAGAUCAGGAACGACGACAUGGGGCGCCCGACCAGCACCACCGGGACCGAGGCCUGCACCUGGACCGGGACCGGCGUCGUGACGCCGACCGCAGCCGACGCCGCAGUCGUAGCCGCAGCCGUGAUCGCGACCGCAGGCGCUGGGGUUCCCCCCGGCGUGGCGGCGCUGCAGGUGGUGAAGGUGACGGCCGAGGCGCAGAGGGGGCUGCGGCAGGGGCUGGUGGAGGCGGAGGUGGCGAGGAGCCACCGCCGCGUCGGCGCCGCUGGCGGAGCCCCAGCCCUCCGCCCGUACCUCCCGUGGUGGGUGGCGAUGCUGCCGGCGAGGAGGGCCGCUGGGGCCGCGGCGGCAACGGCACCAGCGGCGGCGCAUGGAACAACCCACCACCGCCGCCGUCCCUCCACUCUCAAGGUGCGCGGAUCUGAAAUCUAAAACAGAACAGUUCCUUCCCCAAGCCCCCCUUCCCCGGAGGGACCCUGUUUCUAUCUCGUGUGGAAACGAGCAGCACGGUGACACUACCGCCGAACGGUCACAUUCAAGACCGCCUAUCUACCUGUCAGCUAUGUAUGUAUGUCCUCCUCGCUAUGCCGGUGUUGGAGAAACCCAGCACUCUUCCCCCUGCCUGGGUGACUUCCCCUCUAGGACGCUCUUCCCCCCCUCCCACACUCACGUACACACACAAUCAUACACACACCGGGGUGUGGGCCCGCCAUCGGGAUGCGACUGCAGCUCCGGGUCCCACUGAUUCCCAGUCCCAGUGGAUAUCCCAAUCCUAAUCCUGUCUCUGGUCCUAUUUCCCCGCCCCCACCACACACUCACACACACACAUACACACACACACACACACACACACACCGGCUCCCGCUGCUGUCUCAGGUCGCGGAGCAGCCCCGCCGGUCCCCCAGUCCACGGCGCCCCCGCCGGUGGGCUCCGUGCACCGCGGCACCGUACACACCAUAAGGCCCUUUGGGGUGUUCGUGGCGUUACCGGGUUUCCGUCGCCACGUGAUGGUGCACAACACGCAGGUGGGUGGGAGGGCGGAAGGGAGGAGGUGGCGGUGGUGGUGAUGAUGAUGGUGAUGGUGGCGGGGAGCCGGGGGAAGCGAGGGGGAGAGGAGGGGAAGGGACAUAGGUGGAAUUGCUAAAAGUGAGAGAGAGAGAGCUCGGGGCCCAAAACGUGUGUUGUGGUUUACGAAAACGGAGAAGAAUAAAAAAGAAAAAGAAGGUAGACCGUAAUAAGGAGCGAGUAGCGAGUCGGAGAUGGAGGAGACGUAGAGAAAGAAGUUGUUUUCAAGUCGGUGUCCCUCUGCCCCUCUGGCCCUCUGGCCCUCCCCCUCCCCUCCGGAGCCAGGUCAGUGACGAGCUGCGGUUCAAUCGGGAUGACGACGAUGAGGCCAAAGUGAAGGCCCUGGAGUUCUACUUCCCGAAGGGAGAGCAGGUGGGACGGCGAGCAUUUAGUGUGUUGUUAUAUACAUGAUGCCCUGCUUCUUCUCAAUCCUCAGUCCCCAAUCCCCUUCCCCGCUCGUUCCCGUAGGUAUGGGUCAAGAUCACGGAGGUGUCCCCCGACGAGCGAAACCCGUCGGAGGUGCGAGUCAACGGCAGUCUGCGGGCGGUGGAUCAAACCACGGGGGCGGAUCUGGAUCCGGAGGGGCUUCUGGCGGGGGAACAUCACCACCAGCAGCCGGGAGGCGGAGGAGGAGGCGGAGGCCGGGGACGAGGUGCGGGGGAGUGCGGGGUACAGUGUGGUAGCGUGCUGUGCUGUGCUGUGCCGGGUGCUGUCUGGGGGGGUGUGAACUGGUGGUUGAAGUGGUUUUCAGCCAGAGACCCCUCAGACCCAUCCCAGUCAUUGGAUGGGCCUUACCCGGGGGUGGAGGUGGGGUCAGAUGGAGAAUACCAAAUGAGGAGCCAGAAGGAAAAUACCGAAUCCCGAGGGAGAGAAAUUGCAUUGCUGGCGUCCAAAGGUACCAACCAACGUUUUGGGGGGGUGGCACUGGUGGGAUUUGAGAGCUGCUUCAGGACAUCAUCACAAUCAUCACCGGCAGUAGCGGCCCUAGGGAACAGUUCCCCAAGCCAGGAGGGUGUCUGGGUUUGAUGCGGCGUCUAACUGACUCGCACACCAAUGCCACGCCACGGCACACACACACACAUACACUCACUCACUCACCCGCACUCACCCCCCUCUCGUUCAGGUGGCCCCGAAACCGAUGAGCCGCCAGAGGUGGGCUCCGUACACAGGGCCGUUGUGAAGCGGAUCGAGGCGUACGGCGUGUUUGUGGCGCUGGUUGGGUAUCGUCGUCACGGGCUGGUGCACACGAGUCAGGUACGGAUGUACGGAUGGAGGAUACCACCGGGGGUUGGGGGGGAAAUGAGACAUUGAGACACCGAGACGGUCAGAGGGAGGGAGUCGACGGAGCGGGAGGUACGUCUGGCUCGGUUAGCCGAGAAGCCCACGAGCAAUCACCAAAACCGCGUUAGAGCGCAUAUCUUAACGCUGAUGCUGCUACCCAGGUUUGAGCUCCUAAGGGGUUCAGUUCACAGUGUAUUACCGUUAGUUAGUUAGCCCGAUCUCCGUUCUUGUGCAGUUACCAUUGUCAGUUUUCGGUUGUUACUACAUCGGCAGGUAAGCAACUACCUGAGCUUCAGUCGGGAGGAUACCGACGAGCAGAAGAAGGCGGAGCUGGGCGGUGUGGUGACGGUAGGGGAGCAGAUAUGGGUCAAGGUGCGCGGGUGGGCGGGCGGGUGGGCGGGAGGGUGGUGUCCAUGGGUGUGUUUGUGUGUGUGUGGGUGGGGAAGAGGUACAUGGGCUGCCAGCGCGUGUUGUCCGUGGACCGGCUAGGCGUGUGUGCUUCAGAGGACUGAGCCGCGGGCAGGAAGUGGAGACUAAGUGGCAAACGGGCAACUGUGCUGAAGGAAGCCUUAGUCAGCUGAAGUCUGUUUGCGCUUGUUUUGAUAUAUAUACAUGUGUGUGUGUGUGCGUGCGUUGUCCGUAUCGGUCAGUACCGAGUGGUUAGCAAAGAGGCCGCCGCCGCUCCGCUGCAUCGCUUUUUUCAACCCACUAGCUAAACACCCCGCGACACUCUCCGCCACCUCUCCCGCCCUCCUUCAAGCGGCCCCCCCCCCGGUCCCAUCGCGUUGCUCUGGACAUGCCGGCAGUCGAUCCUUCGCCUCUUGCAUCGUUGUACGAUUUCCCCCUCGUCUCCCCCCAUCCAUCCAUCCCCCCUCCCCGCGCCCGUGGGCUCCCUGGAUCAGGUGGUUGAGGUGGCUCCGGAUGAGGGUCGCGGCGGUUUUAAAAUCGGGUGCUCCAUCAAACUGGUGAACCAGGCCGGUGGGGAGGACCUGGACCCCACAAACACACGGUGCGACAGCGGAGUGGUCUGGGUGAAGGGAGGGAGUGAGGGAGGAAGGGGUACACUGAUGGAAGGCACUGUAGGAGUCGUCGUCCGGUCGGUGAGGAGGACUUCGCGGUGGGAUAGGAUGCGGCUGUUUUGGCAGUCUGGACGGGGGAGAUGGCGGGGGAGAGACGGGGGAGAGCACUCGUAGGCUUUGUGUUUCUUUGUGCCCCUUUGUAUUCCUCCGUUUUAUUCCUUUUUCCUUUGUGAGUCGAAUCACAGCUUACCACCGUUAGCGGGGUGGUGUUUCGUUGUGGGGUGUGUUGCUCCCGCGCGGCCUUGUGUAGGCCGUUCCGGGCCCUUCACUAUCCUGACCUGACGCUCUCCUGCUGCGACCCCGCCUUGGCCUUGGCCGCCUGUCCUGACGCUGCAGGUACCGGCCGCGUGAUGCGGGCGGUCGGGGUCCUGGGGCUGCUGCUGGGGCCAUUGGUUCCGGAGCGGGCGAGGUGGGGCGAGGUGAGGUCGGGUAGCGGGCCGAGUAGGGCUGAGGGGCCGAUGGGGGCCCCGGGACUCACUCCACCAACAGGGACUGGGGUCGGAUGCCGUGAAGGAGGGAAAGGAAGGAAGGAUGAAACAGCUUUUAGUAAGUUUGAGGUUCCAUUGCAGUACCGCAGUAAAGGGUUCCUCAGUCCUCAGUAAUGCCUCCUUCCCUUUUUCCUCCUCCUCCCUCAUCUUACGCUUGCGGCACACACACUUACACACACGCGCGCGCACGCACAUGUGGGCCGUCAGGCGGCAAGAUCGACUGGGGCCAUCUGGCAGCGGACACCAAGCUGUACGUCAACGAGAAGGCGGCGGCGCAGUACAAGCUGUUGGAGGAGGAGGCGCCGCCACGACUCCCCGGGGCCCCGGGGGGAUCGGGACCGGGGCCAGGAUCGCUGCCGGGGUUGGGGGGAGGAGGAGGAGGUGAGCCUGGAACGUCAGUGGCUGCGUUUUGGGCAAGCUGUCCGUGCUGCACAAGGUCCUCUGUCUCCUACGCGAUUCGAAGCAAGCACUAGGGUUUGGUGUUGGUGUUGGUGUUGAUGCACCAAUGGUUAAUACUCGCUGAAAGCAGGGCAGGGCAGGGAUCGGGCAGGCACGGUACGGGUCAUCUUGAGUUCGGAGUUUCGGGAGCGUCCCUGAGGGGAUUUCGCGAUGUCGGAUUGGAGUCCUGUUGCGGAGUACGGCAACAGGCAACGGUUGGUACGGCAACAGGAAUUCCGGGGAAGAACUCCAUCUUCGGGCACCCCCCCGUGCCCCAACCGACACCCCCAACACCGACUUUGUUUACCUUUAUCCACUCAGCUCCGCCGACCAACUCCCCCAGCCACUACCACCCACCCACCCACCCACUACCGGCACUGCGCGCUGCAGUCCUUCCGCGACGGGAACAUUGUUGAGGCAGCAGCAGCAGCACUAGGCAGAUAUGUACACACACACACGUGCAUUGCCCCAAAGUGAAAUUGUUGCUCCAUGGACCGCCGUGCGCCAUUAGGUGGUCCCCAAGGAACCCUAAACAAACCCGGUUCAGGUAUUGGAAGUGUAACUCACUACCUUCACCCCCUUCUUUCGAUAGCUUUUUUUCCUUCUUGACUUGGCAUGUUAUUUCCAAACCAUCGCCACCCGUUUCCUGUAUCCAUCCAUCCCUCCUGCCAUCCCUCUAUCCCUCCUGCCAUUCGCACAUGUUCAUGUCUUACUUACGUUGUUGCCACGGUGUCCUCACCUCCUCGCCCUCACGCCCCUAUCAGGCCCCCCUGGCUCGCACGCUCCUGGACCCAUGGGUCGCGGACGGGGCAUGGUGCUGCCGGCAUGGAUGACACAGGGCACCGCUGCCGGAGGCGGAGGCGGUGCUGGCGGCCCGGCAGCGCCCGGUUCCCUUCCGUCCAACCAGCUUCCGGCUUCGUCCAAGUUUGAGUUGGUCGGCGGGCGGGACCGUGAUGUGGAUCCAAGCAGCUUGUUGUUACAGGAUUUUAUGGAGUUUGCUGAUGGUGGCCGUGGGAGAGGAGGAGCAGGAGGAGCAGGAGGAGCAGGUGGUGGUGGUGGUGGUGGUGGGACACGGAUCAGCAGCAUUGAGGAGGCGCUUGCGAUCUUGGAAGCCCACGGCGGCAAGAAGGCCUUGAAGAAAGAUAAAAAGGACAAGAAGAAGAAAAAGGAGAAAGACAAAGACAAAAAAGGCAAGAAGGAUAGGAAAAGGAAGAAGAAGAAAAGCAGCAAGAAGUCGUCGGGCGGCGAACGGCAGCGAAGCGGCCACGGCAGCAGCAGCAGCAGCAGCAGUGACAGUGAUAGUGGCAGCAGUAGUGGCGAGGAGGACGGCUCGAGGCGGUAUCGCCGCUGAAAGCACGAAUAAGCAAACCCGGGGCUAGCAGUAAAGGGCCCGUUCGUGGAUUAGGGGCCUGUAGCCGCCACGUGCACACUUCUGAACCCGGUCCAUGUGCGCAUCUGUCUGUAUGUGAGUAGUUUCGUAUGCAGCAUGGUGCGAGGUAUGGUGAUGAUACCGAGGUAGGUGGUUCGUUUGUUGGUUCCUUUGUUUUCUUUUCCUUGGGCCCCAGCGCCUGCCUGAAAGUGUGUUUGUCAGUCUGUGAUGGCUCUCAUGCAGUGUGGCCUGACUGACUGUUGCUGACUAGCUCCCUACGACUCCCCCGAUUUCGAAAUGGAAGUCAGUGCAACUGGAAGUUCUGUUUGGGUUGUCAUUUGCUUACGAACUACGACUAUUUUCUCUCGUUCUGUGUUCAUAGGGGUUUUGGAUGGCUUUGCCUUUCCAUUUGCAAAUGCCGCAAAAUGGUCCCCGGAAAGCAAGAAGGUUCAUCAUCAUGCGUCUAAGCGUCCUUGAUGUUGAUGAAAGCCUUCUGACGCGCGCUCGACGGAUACCAUAGUAGCUUUGACGUGCAGCUACUGUGACGCCUGUGUAUUCGCGAAUCACGAAUUUGCAUCCCCAGGUUUUGUUUUACCGCGGGUUUCCGUACUCGUACAAUAUAGGCAAUGACGGCGUUUCCAUCAAAACCACACAUGGCAUGACGUCCUUGCGGCGUAUGUGACUUCAUGUGACUGCAUCGGCCAUUUCUGGUGGGCGAGAGAGUGGAGUGUGAGGGCUCGGUGCUUCAGACACUCUUCCUGUUGCCUAACCAAGCAAACCCCACCGAGUCGGACGCAUAUGCGCACAAUUGAAGCAGCCUCGGCAGGUAUUGAGGCAACGUGCCACCGCCGUGUCUCGUGCUUCCGCCGUGUUUUGCCACCUUGUUCAGGAAGGCUACCGUACCAAUUACGUAUGACAAUAUUUGCUGGCGGUGUGGAUUAGCCAUGUCGGUGACGCUCGGGUCGUUUGGGUAUACUGGCGACGUAGGAAAACCGAACUUCGAACUGGGUAACAAUGGACUUGCAAGCGUGAAGCCUCCGCCCCUUCUCUGCUCGCUCCCUCCUACCUAGACAUCACCGUCGCACCUCUCUAUGGGAAUGGGACUACCGAACUUGGCCUACGGAAAGCCCUACCCGCUCACGGGCGAAAAGUAUUUGGCUGAGUUGGGGGUAAAGGGGUGGACUUGGCGAGCUGUGUUUUACCGUGGCGUCGGAUCUGGCUGGCAUGUGGGCUGAGAGAUGGCAGCCACCGCAGAGCGCCUUCCCCAGCGCCAAAAGGUUUGGAGGACAAGUGUUCAGGAAUGUGGCGCAACGUCUGGCUUGUAAGUAAUCGUGCAGGGACUUAGUGACUUCGUAUGGCAUAAUGGGUCGUAUCGUUAGCUAGGUCGUGACUUUGCAUUAUGUAUUAAUGCUUUGAAUUGUACGGCAUGUUCGCCCGUUUUCGGCACGGUAUUCAGGCACGGAUUAGUUCACACCUGGUCUUGUCGGCUGAGCCGAGUAAGGUGAUCGGCGAGUCAACUUGCAGUGGUGAUUGACACGACGCUUCCUGGGACUGGCCCACAGGAUCUCGCGUCGCAGCAGGCCAUGCUCUGUUAGCUCCUUGACAGGCGACAGCAGCCUCAACUGGCUGUCUGCGUCGGAGACUGUUUCGAGCUGGCUUGUUUUUCAAGGCCAACCACGUAUACAGCGUAUGUCACCUACUGCAGUUUUCAUAAUCCGGAGGAUACUGAAGUUUCCCGAUUGACCGCACCUCGUGCUGCGUUGUUCAGCUCCGGCGGGCAAAGAGUAAGGUGAAGCAACAAUUACCAGCAAGACAUUCGACGUGCAAAGCCAUUAUAAUUGCGACGGCUCCAGGAAAAUCUGUCACACAUUCCUUCAGUCGUGAUACGUGCGGGUCCAUGGUUCCAAGUGCUGCCGUCAGCGGCGUUAUCGCAGCUGCCGCCUCGACCGCGGCCGCCGCACCCAAGCGCGACCCUGACUCGGCUGUGGCUCUGCUUCACGCCGCGGGUGACGACCAGGAGGCUCUCGCCGAGGCGAUUGCUGAGGCGGCCUUCCUGGACACCACACCCGGGGACCACCGGCAGAAGCUACGGGGUGAGGGCUCCCGGACCUGCCCGGAGAGGGUAGCCGGUGCCUUCCACCGGGUAUCAAUUUCUCUAGGGGAGCAACUAAAGCUAAAAUCCUUCCUGGACGGCGCCUUUUUGAGCGUUGAAUGAAAGUCCUGUUGCCUUAUUUGACGCGGUCCCGUCGUAUGGGUUGCUCACAUGGAUGCAAGAGCCCUCAAAUACAAAAUGCACUUAGUGCUUCUUGCGCCGAACGUGACCGAGGGGAGCAACUAAAGCUAAAAUCCUAGGGGAGCAACUAAAGCUCUCUUCUCUAGGGGAGCAACUAAAGCUAAAAUCCUUCCUGGACGGCGCCUUUUUGAGCGUUGAAUGAAAGUCCUGUUGCCUUAUUUGACGCGGUCCCGUCGUAUGGGUUGCUCACAUGGAUGCAAGAGCCCUCAAAUACAAAAUGCACUUAGUGCUUCUUGCGCCGAACGUGACCGAGGGGCCCGCUUCCAAGGCCUCCAGCACUCACACGUCCUGGCAACGGCGUGAGAAUUGACUAUCCAGGUUCUGUUGUGCUGCUGUGUGACAGCGGCGCGCGCGCGACUGCGGCAGCUCAAUGCGGCGGCGGCCAAGGCUGACAGCGCCGACCGCUCACCACACGCCAAGGCUGAAUACACUGCUGAAGACUUCGAGCGCCUGACGGGUGGGUAGUGGCGGGGAGUCGAUUGUUGAAAUGCUGCCCACUGCGGCCGACAGCCGAUGGUACAGAACAGCAACGGUAACAGUGCACGCGCCCCCCGUAUCAUAGCGCAGGAGAGCGAGCAUUAAAAGCUGACCUAUUCGCGAAGCCGCUCCACUUCCGCAUUGUGAAUCAAUUGCACGCCACGACACAAGGGGUCGGCCACACGGACGGGAAACCAUCGAUUGCUCCAUUUCCAGCAAUGCAGAGGUCGCGUAUGCGUGCCGCUGCUACCUUUCCGGCAAUGGCACGGGUUCCGAAUCCACCCCACCCCACCCCACCCCACCACCCCGAUACCCUUCCCUUCACCCAGGCCAAUACGAAAAGCUCAAUUGGCGCAUGGUCAGUAAGCCCGGAGGUGCCACCGUCAAGCCCGAUGACUUCUAUCGUCUCUACGCGCUUCACAUGCAGGUUUGUUCUUACGACUGCCUGGCUAGCUGUGCGGGCAGCCACCCCCUCCUGCCGCCUCCCUUUCAAAUCCAGCAAACGCUUGUGGAGGGAGAUAUGACGGGCAGCAAAAGGGAGUAGGCCAGGAAGAUGGGCGACAGCAGCAGCUGGUAUGAGCAAGCCACACGUGUUCAUUGAGCCGCAGGAUACCUUUUAAGCCAAACUCUUCUACACCCCCUGACGCUGCGCGCUGCCCAACCAUCCCAGCCCUUCCCCUUACCCCGCACCUUAGCGUUUGGCGCUGCCGCCAUCAGCACCCUUAGCCGGCCACCACAUCACACGUCCUGCCAGCCCUUGCCCCCUCCCUCCGAAAUUCCCAACCCGCGGACCGUCAGGCCACCCAGGGCGACAACGCCACCGAGCGGCCCAUGUGGGCGGAGCGGGGGGGACUGGACUUCGAGGGCCGCGCACGCUGGGACGCCUGGUCCGCACUGCGCGGCACGGACCCUGCCAAGGCGCAACUGCGUUUCGUGAAGCUGUUUCAUGAGUUCAGCCCGGCGGCGCUGUACAAGGACACGCGAGGCGCCGUGCUCGCGGCGGGAGGACAGUAACAAGAGUGGGGUUUUAGAGCAGGUCGAGGCCUGUUAGGUGGUGGAGAGAAGAUGACUCGGUCCGCAGGUGUGUUUGUUGGGACACACACGUGAAAAGGGAGGCGGAGGCAAAUGCACGGGAAAGGAGCUGGCACAGGUGUGGAGUUGGGACCCUCAACUGGCAAGGUCGCGGCGUUGUGUAAAAAUCGGCUAUACACUCGGAUAGGGAUAGUGUAGUGCAAGUGGGACGUUUCGUUGUUGCAACUAAGGCUGCCAUCCGACGUAUUCCUCUGCUGGUCUCAGCUUUUGCUGCGAGUGACACACACGUGAUUCUGGUAAUAUAUUGCAAAUCUAAGGGCUGACUUUCGCUUGACGCGACGAUGUGACGAUCAAAAGCCUUUCCGCCCUUGUGCCUCACCGUCCCUAUACGCAGCCGACACGUAAAGGGAAAGGAACACGCUGCGAUGCACGUAUUCCUCAAAACCUAGAGCAUGCAGUCACGUGCCAUAAACACACACACAUAUAUAUAUAUAUAUAUACGCCUCAUAACCCAAGAGUCUCAUGCACAAUGCACAGUAUCAAAACUCCCCAUCAAGACAUAUUCCCCUGGACAUAUUCUCCGCUCACUGUCCACUACCGUCAUCGCAGCGUGCGAGUGCUCUGGCCCCAUGAUGUGUGUUUCUUCUCCCCAUUCCCUCCACGUGCCGGAACAAUCAAUGGCAUCCGGCACGCGUUUAUGUCACGUGCGGUUUGCUGUGCACGCAAACACACAAACAGAGGCUAGGUACAUGUCGCGAUGGUGCGUUGCCAGCCAGUCAGAAAGCACUAAACCACACCACAGGAGAAGUGUGACACCCCGGCUGAGUGCAGUUCCUAAAGGUGAUUGUUACGGAGGACUGCCUAGAAGGUAUAGAGCCCCGUUCCUUUCGAACCGCGUGGGCCGUUGCCUGCGCCCAGAUCUUUCCACAUAAGACAAAAGCGCCCCGUGCGCCUCGAAACACAGAGCCACAGCCGCAGUCCAGCCCCUUGAGUCUAACAGCCCCCCAAUCCAGUCAACCAGUGCCCUCCAAUCUUGUAGACGGCGCUCUAAUUCCCUAAUUGCAGCCAACAGUCCGCCUAAACCCACCCGAGCCAGCACCCUAUGUGAGCCUAGCCGCCAUAUCCCCGACACCCUUUCCCUUUCACCUCCUCCUUUUCCAGAGGCUCCCCUCUUCCCCCUCCUCCUGCCUCCCUUCCUCCCUUCGUCUCUGCCUCCUAUGCCUCCCCAACCCCAGCACCGACACCCGCUCCUUAAAUGUCCGCCAGUGUUUGCGGUCGCUGGUAGUCCCAAAUGAAGAUGCCGCCCUCAGUGCCCACAGACACGAUACGCUGCUUGUCCGGCGUCACACCGAUGCCAGACACCGCACCGCUGUGCGCUACACCCACAAAGUAGCAGUGCCCCUCAUCAUAGCCCCACAGCUUGACCAGCUUGUCGCCGCCGCCGCUGACAAUGGCCUCGCCGUCGCGGUCCACAGCCAGCGCGUUGACCUCAUCACCGUCGCUGCCGUCAAUGAUGCGGAUGGCGUUGCCGUCGUAGGCGUCCCAAUACGUGAUCUGCGCAAUAGGUGGUGGUGCGUGGCAGUGGGCGGGGCCCGGCGGGAUGCGGUGUGGUUAGCCAGGCACGUGAAAGGUGUAUCUGUGUUGUUGGCAUUUUGGCUCAUGAUUGCUUGCUUUCCUUUCCUUUGCUAUUAAACCGUUCGUUCUUGGCACUGGAACACACUCGCGACAAUUGAAACUGAACCUCCAUUUUCGUUCGUUCUGUGCGUACACCUCUCCUGCCUUCGAGUUCAUUCCCCUUGGCCUACCAAGCCACUAUCAAGCUUUCCCCGCUACCUUUCGGUCGGUGCCCGUCGUGACCAGCUGCGACUCGUCUGGAUGGUAGACCACGCUCUUGAAAAAGGUGUUGGAGAAGAGGCUGGUGCGGCGCUUGUACGUGUUCAGGUCCCAGAUGAUGCACGAGCCAUCCGAGGAGGCAGACACGCACUCGUCAUCGGCGGCCUUGACGCGGAUGCAGUUGACCGGCCCCUUGUGAUCCUUCAUGGAAGCCUCCAAAGUCUAAAGGGCAUUGGGAUAGCGGAUGGGGGAUGGCUAGAGUAAAAUACACAGAUACCGGCAAAAAGCAAAAUGGUGAUCACUGACGCUAUGGGGCGUUCUUUUAGAGUUUUAAGAAGCACCAUGAAGGCCCAGCCAAGCCAAGUCCAGCCAAACCGAAAUCAGUCCAUUCAUGGAAAUACGCACGAGGUCCUUCUCCCCCCGCGGAUGCGGGUGAUGAUGAUGACUGGGUGACACAGGGCUCGAUGCGCCCCGGCCGGAGCUCAUCAUCUUGUCUCGCAACCACCCUCUGUCCAGUUCUUCCUGGCCCUGUCCCAGGCCGCUGAAGGCACCCCACCCACCCUACGGAGGGGGCCCUACGGGGUAAGAGCAGCCCGGCCCGGGGAGACCCCCUGCUGCCAGCCCCGCUCACCUGGGAGGUGCGGCCCAGCCGCCACACUCGCACCAUGCCCUCCUCGCCGCCGCUAAUGAUCUUGGAGCUGUCCGAGGUGGACGCGAUGGCCGUGACGGCCUUUUGGUGCGCGUCGUUGAUGGUGAAGAUGACCUUGCCGGAUUGGGGCCCAAACGCGCGGAUGCGACCGUCGGACCAACCCGACAAGAUGGCGGACCCAUCCUGUGGAUGAGGCGGGUGUGUGUGUGGGGGGGGGGGCAGCGGAAGCGGCGUGAGGCGGCAGUGCAGCGACGGCGUCGGCCAAGACUCAUCUCGAGGCUGAGCAAGCGCACAUUGGGCAGGUUCAACAUUGGACCCGGCGCCGUAUGUAUAAGUCCACUGUGACGAACUUGUCGAGACCCUUAUGUGUUCGGGCACUUUAAAAACCUUGUACCCUGCCCCGCCCCACAGAGCAGCCCCCCAGGCCCACACAACCGCAGUCCAAUCCCGAUACCAGCUCUCUGCUGCGCUCGUCCGCAGCCCCGGCCUCUUGAGCAAACCCACAUCCAACCCAACCCACCCACCAUCCCAUCCUCCCGCACGCACACAUCCAGCCAGCCAGCCACAGCCACCAAAUUGUCUUUUUCAACCGGUCCCCUACCCACCGUUGUGAAGGCGAUGCAGUGGCACUCCAGGUUGGGCACCGCAAUACGCAGCAGCUCGCGGCACGUGGACAGGUGCCACAGCCGGAUGAAGCCCGUGCCGCAGGUGGCGAACACCUCAGAAUACAAGUGCGGGAAGGCAAGGCCGUUGAUCUUCUCAGCGUGGGCGGUUUGGAUGAGCUCCUCCUUCAACCUGAGCCGAGAAGGGGAGGGAGCGGCGCGGGGAACGGAGGGUUUAAGCACCCUAUAACCCCUACUAGCCCUGUGUGUCACACGUGCCCGGCUGGUCGGUCCUCGCUACCGAGCAGCAGCCGCGCGGGAGGACACUUCUGGGUGGACGGGGCCCCGUGCUUCGGCGACACUGCCAUCAGCGCACCGCCGCAAACAUUCCUCCUGCCGCGCCAAUAUUCCUCUUCCGCUCCAACGCCCUUCCCAGGCAGUCUCCUCCCCGGACAGCGCGCAUUAUUCUGCCUCGCGGUGUUUACAUACUUACCUUUGUAAACCCGACAAUGUGUGGUUUGCGGCGACCAGGUUUGUGUCGAAGGAAACGCACGACCCGGGACAUGUCACGAGGGAGCGGAUCCCUGGUGCGCGGGCCCUUCUUGGUGCCGUUGGUGCUGACUAUCCCAACUAUUCAAGAAUGACAACGGCGGGUCCCAAGGUCUGAGCUACCCAUCUACCCACUCACCCGCACCCUUCCUGCUCCGUCCACAACCCCCCGUCCUUGUGGCCCCGUGUGGCCCCAUUCAGCAACCCCCUGUGGAAACCUACCAUGCACCUACCAUGCCCACUCUCCUUACCCUUGGCCCCCUUUCUUGGCUGCAUAACCCCUCCAAAGUGGACUGUGACCCAGGGCCCAUGUUUCCCCUCCACCAGUCCCCACCUGCCCGAGCCCGGUUCGUAGGUGACCUUGUAGAUGUUGCACAUGGCGGUGCCCACAUAGAAUGUGAAGGAGCGGCUGCUGACGUCCGCCAGGCUGAUGGAGGUGACGGCGCCCUCCACCCGGGUGGCCGCCACGGCGGGCAUCUUGCGGAGGAGCUUGGGGUUUGUGGAGGACGGCUCAGGUACCGUGCGGAGCACCUGUCAGGUUAGCGAGUGGAGGGGGAGGUGCAGGAUGCGGCCCGAGGCGUGAAGGAGUUGGUCAGCAGGAGGGGGGGAGGACAGGUACUAAUGUAUUAUUGCUCGUCGUGUUCGUUCUCUCUGGCAAAUGACUGCUGCCCCCCAACUUCCGUUUCUACCCUCGGUCUCUCAACCCCCGGCGGUAGUGGGCGGCAGUGCGCCACGUCCAGGCUGUCUGCCUGUCUGCACCCCCCGCCCUGCCUCCCUGUCGCUUCUGCCUCUUUUCACUCCGGGUCAUAGACGACACGCAACCUGAGGAGGGGAUUAAGCCCUCCCUAGAACUUUACAAAACAUAUCAUGUUCCCCAAUGCUGUGUUUGUGUUCAAGCCACCAGGUGCUUUUGCUGAAUGACGAAGCUGGACGAACGGAAGGGGACGCACAGCAGACCUCCCUCCUCCCUGCCCCCUCACUCCCAAAAGGGGCCACAGGGAUCCCAGUAGAGGCGCCACAUCGCCCUGAUUGCGCCACCACCACCUCCAGGUGGAUGAACGGAUGGAUGGAUGGAUUGAUGAUGCAUCGUUGCAUCCAUACGCUGGUCGGUCCCUUGGCUGGUAUGGACGUGCAUGUGGCAGGUGCGGUGGCAGGUUCGCUAAUCCUGCUAAUCCUGCUUUGGUUACCCCGCUGCUGCUCCAGUUGCGGUGACUCCUGCUCCUACACGUAUUCUGUUCUGCUAGUGGUUCUGAUGCUGCAUCCAGUUCAGCAUAAGGAGCCUAUACUUGGAUGGGAGUUGUUGAAGUAGAACAGGGGUGGUGCUGGGUGGUGCAAUGAAAUGCAGGCCACAGGGCCACAUCGUCUUCCCGGCCAGCUCAAGCUCAGGCUACGGCCUGCCUUCCUU